GACGAACGCUGGCGGCGUGCCUAAUACAUGCAAGUAGAACGCUGAAGAGAGGAGCUUGCUCUUCUUGGAUGAGUUGCGAACGGGUGAGUAACGCGUAGGUAACCUGCCUUGUAGCGGGGGAUAACUAUUGGAAACGAUAGCUAAUACCGCAUAACAAUGGAUGACACAUGUCAUUUAUUUGAAAGGGGCAAUUGCUCCACUACAAGAUGGACCUGCGUUGUAUUAGCUAGUAGGUGAGGUAAUGGCUCACCUAGGCGACGAUACAUAGCCGACCUGAGAGGGUGAUCGGCCACACUGGGACUGAGACACGGCCCAGACUCCUACGGGAGGCAGCAGUAGGGAAUCUUCGGCAAUGGGGGCAACCCUGACCGAGCAACGCCGCGUGAGUGAAGAAGGUUUUCGGAUCGUAAAGCUCUGUUGUAAGUCAAGAACGGGUGUGAGAGUGGAAAGUUCACACUGUGACGGUAGCUUACCAGAAAGGGACGGCUAACUACGUGCCAGCAGCCGCGGUAAUACGUAGGUCCCGAGCGUUGUCCGGAUUUAUUGGGCGUAAAGCGAGCGCAGGCGGUUUGAUAAGUCUGAAGUUAAAGGCUGUGGCUCAACCAUAGUUCACUUUGGAAACUGUCAAACUUGAGUGCAGAAGGGGAGAGUGGAAUUCCAUGUGUAGCGGUGAAAUGCGUAGAUAUAUGGAGGAACACCGGUGGCGAAAGCGGCUCUCUGGUCUGUAACUGACGCUGAGGCUCGAAAGCGUGGGGAGCGAACAGGAUUAGAUACCCUGGUAGUCCACGCCGUAAACGAUGAGUGCUAGGUGUUGGAUCCUUUCCGGGAUUCAGUGCCGCAGCUAACGCAUUAAGCACUCCGCCUGGGGAGUACGACCGCAAGGUUGAAACUCAAAGGAAUUGACGGGGGCCCGCACAAGCGGUGGAGCAUGUGGUUUAAUUCGAAGCAACGCGAAGAACCUUACCAGGUCUUGACAUCCCGAUGCUAUUUCUAGAGAUAGAAGGUUACUUCGGUACAUCGGUGACAGGUGGUGCAUGGUUGUCGUCAGCUCGUGUCGUGAGAUGUUGGGUUAAGUCCCGCAACGAGCGCAACCCCUAUUGUUAGUUGCCAUCAUUCAGUUGGGCACUCUAGCGAGACUGCCGGUAAUAAACCGGAGGAAGGUGGGGAUGACGUCAAAUCAUCAUGCCCCUUAUGACCUGGGCUACACACGUGCUACAAUGGUUGGUACAACGAGUUGCGAGUCGGUGACGGCGAGCUAAUCUCUUAAAGCCAAUCUCAGUUCGGAUUGUAGGCUGCAACUCGCCUACAUGAAGUCGGAAUCGCUAGUAAUCGCGGAUCAGCACGCCGCGGUGAAUACGUUCCCGGGCCU
Molecule: ribosomal RNA, 1369 nt
Filed under: uncultured bacterium
Lineage: Bacteria
Description: bacterial SSU rRNA
Rfam family: Bacterial small subunit ribosomal RNA
Source: RNAcentral